GCAAGUCGAACGGUGAACCGGAGCUUGCUCUGGGGAUCAGUGGCGAACGGGUGAGUAACACGUGGGCAACCUGCCCCUCACAUUGGGAUAACCCCGGGCAACCGGAGCUAAUACCAAAUAUGACCUUGAUAGGCAUCUAUCGAGGUGUAAAGGAUUCUGGUGAGGGAGGGGCCCGCGGCCUAUCAGUUAGUUGGUGAGGUAACGGCUCACCAAGGCGACGAUGGGUAGCCGGCCUAAGAGGGCGAUC
This 247-nucleotide ribosomal RNA is filed under the name uncultured bacterium. RNAcentral describes it as "partial 16S ribosomal RNA". It matches the Rfam family "Bacterial small subunit ribosomal RNA", at positions 57 to 305 of the family's 1533-position model. The record is from RNAcentral.